AACGAACGCUGGCGGCAGGCCUAACACAUGCAAGUCGAACGCUCGUAGCAAUACGAGAGUGGCAGACGGGUGAGUAACACGUGGGAACCUUCCCUAUGGUUCGGAAUAGCUCAGGGAAACUUGGGGUAAUACCGGAUAAGCCCUUCGGGGAAGAUUAUCGCCAUUGGAUGGGCCCGCGUCGGAUUAGCUAGUUGGUGAGGUAACGGCUCACCAAGGCAACGAUCCGUAGCUGGUCNGAGAGGAUGAUCAGCCACACUGGGACUGAGACACGGCCCAGACUCCUACGGGAGGCAGCAGUGGGGAAUAUUGGACAAUGGGCGCAAGCCUGAUCCAGCCAUGCCGCGUGAGUGACGAAGGUCUUCGGAUUGUAAAACUCUUUUGGCGGGGGACGAUAAUGACGGUACCCGCAGAAUAAG
Molecule: ribosomal RNA, 416 nt
Filed under: uncultured bacterium
Lineage: Bacteria
Description: bacterial SSU rRNA
Rfam family: Bacterial small subunit ribosomal RNA
Source: RNAcentral